This 253-nucleotide ribosomal RNA is filed under the name uncultured bacterium. RNAcentral's name for it is "partial 16S ribosomal RNA". It matches the Rfam family "Bacterial small subunit ribosomal RNA", at positions 524 to 776 of the family's 1533-position model. The record is from RNAcentral.
UACAGAGGGCUCAAGCGUUGUUCGGAUUCAUUGGGCGUAAAGGGUGCGUAGGCGGCGCGGUAAGUCGGGUGUGAAAUCUCGGAGCUUAACUCCGAAACUGCAUUCGAUACUGCCGUGCUUGAGGACUGGAGAGGAGACUGGAAUUUACGGUGUAGCGGUGAAAUGCGUAGAUAUCAGGAGGAACACCUGUGGUGUAGACAGCUUACUGGACCACGACUGACGCUGAGGCACGAAAGCGUGGGUAGCAAACAGG